GCAUCAAUACAUUUCCAAAUGAAGACAUUAGAAGAAGAAGAAAUGGAAAUAUUACAGCAAGUUGAAUGUAACAUUUCUGAAGCUGUAGCAGAAUAUACAGAAAUAAUAUCCAGUCCUCGGAAGGAUGUACCUAUUGUCACUGAAAGGACAGUCUUAGAUUUACCACAAGAGGAAGAAACAGAUAAAAGGAUUGAGAAGGAAACUGCCAAAGAUAUUUCUGAGGGUACCUCUGUGAACAACAACAUUCAGACAUAUGCUGAAUCUGAAACACAAUUGUCUGAUAAUCUUGCUAAGUCCAUAGCUGUGGAAGAAAAUGCUCAUACAAAUCAUCAAUCUGCCAUUUCCGAAAAAUCACAAAAUGUUGUUACACUGCCUGUUCAAAACUGUAAUAGUUCAAAUCAGCUGUGUUCAGUCGACUUUUCUCCGACCAGUAUCAGUUACGAAACCCAGUUAUCUUACAGUUCUCUAGACACCGACAAUGAUGAUGCUUUAUCUCAUGUUUCAGGUCCCAUAAAUUCUAAUCAUAUAGGUAACAAUUAUUCUAGACAGAUUUCCACUUUGUCCUCAUCAAAAACAUUACAUUGUUUGCCUCCCUGCAGAAUAUGUGAAGAGAAAGCUUCAGGUUUCCAUUAUGGUGUGAAUACAUGUGAAGCCUGCAAGGGUUUUUUCCGUAGAAGCAUUAAAAGGGUAACCCAAUAUAAAUGUGUAGAGUCAAAUAACAGUUGUGUGAUAGAACAAGGGAAAAGAAAUAUAUGUCCUAAAUGUAGAUUUGACAAGUGUGUAAAGGUUGGCAUGUCCAAAAGUGCAAUUAAAACUGGUCGUUACACCCAUGAAAAAAGAUCUCAGGAUAUCAGAGAAGUAAAGAAACUUGAGACAGGAACCCAUGACUUUGUUCCUGCUGUAAUUUCAAGUCAAAAUAUGGAAGAGUCAAAAGAUUUGGUAAUGAUGCUUGUCCAGGCUCAGAAGGAUAUGUAUGGACCUCAAUUUGAAUAUUGGACUAACGAUGAGACCAUUUAUAAACUAGCUCAAGAUUAUCUCAGGCAGCAUAAAGCCAAAACAGACAUAUUUGGAGACCUGAACAAGCUCCCUGAAGAUGAAUUUAAGAACUUCUACAAUACAACUGGCAUUGAUAUAGAUAACAGAAUAGAACUGAUGAGUGAAAUAGCUACAACAUUAGAAAAUGGAGUCUCUAAAUACAUUAACUUUGUUAAAAACAUUCCAGGAUUCAUUGGCUUAUGUUUGGAAGAUCAAGCAGCCUUGAUUAAAGUAUCCAGAUUUGAGUUUUGGUUUAUUGGUUACCAACGGUUCGUUUGUCAUAACUUAGAAGUGACCACUGGAGGGAUGAAACAGUGUCAUCAUAAGACAGAAUUAGCUAAGGUUGUUGGCAGUGAAUUUGUAGAAGAACUUUUUGAACACAGUAGGAAAAUUCAAAGUUUAAAGUUGACUUGUGAUGAUAUUGCUGUAUUGAGGUCAUUCCUUGUGGUCUCCCCUGAUAGAUGUACCUUAAAAGACAGAGAUGCUGUAGAGAAAAUCCAAUGGAAACUACUUAUGUGCAUGAAAUAUUUAUUUGAGGUAAACCAUAAACCAGAGGAACGAUACCUUUCCAAGGUAUUAGACAGAGUGGCUAGUCUUCGAGUACUAUCAGAAAUGAAUGAGAAGAGGGCACAAUCAAUAAAGCUAGAAUGGCCAAUUUUGAAGAACCACCCCUUAUUAGUAGAGCUUAUGUCUGGUUAAUACUGCUGAUGUUGGUGUUUGAUUUAUAGCGUACCAUAAAUUGUUGAUAUAUAUAGUAUGUGUCUGGUCAGGUCAUUCCUUCUGUCCUGAAAAUAUGAUUUUGAAAGAAAUGACUGCCAGUGAGAGGAAUAAUUGAGUAAAAUUUUACUAUUUCUAUGUUGUUGAGUAGCUCGUUUGAAGGAGGAGCCUGAUUAUAUAAAUUGCUGAAUCAUUGUGAGGAAAGCAAGUUCAUUCAGCAACAAGUGUUCAAAGAAAAAGUAAAGACAAUGAAAAAUAUGGAAUGAUUCUUUUCAAAAAGAAAUGUUCUCAUCUAUUCCAUCAUGUUGUUUUCUCAGUUGUCCUUGACACCUCAUCAGGACAUUUAGACCCAUGACAUUAUUUACUUUAUUGAGUGUUUCUAAUAGUCUGUCUUUCUUGGGAUACAAUGACUCAGGCUACAGGUUUGGCUUUGAAAUGCACACAGAUGUUGAGGCAUUUGUAUUCGAUAGUACCUACUUCAUAUGGAAUUGCUAUCACAAUGAUUGUACCAUAUAACUAUAGUGACAUGGUCUUUGAAAAGCUUUCUGUAAAAUAUAUGUAGAGGAAAAUGACCUAUUAACUAUGUAUUUAUUAUUGUUUAAGCUAGCAGGUUAUACAAAACUUCAUUGAGAAAUUUUAUUGUCUGAAAAACAUCAUGUCACCAUAUUUUUCUACUGGUAAUUUUCUUCCUUCAACAGCUUUCUUACAUUGAACAGAAACGCUGGAUUUAAAAAUGCAUACAGUUCAGUGUUCUCCCCAGGAUUUUUGAACAGCACCAGGGUAAUGGUGAAAUGAUUCGUACAAUCAGUCAUGUCGCAUUGUGUCGCUUAGCUAUAUUUCUAGUUACUGUAGUUUUUAUACGACCGCAAAAAAAUUUUGUGGUCGUAUAUUGGUAUGACGUUGGCGUUGUCGUUGUCGUCUUCGAAGACACAUCGGUUUUCGCACUCUAACUUUAGUUUAAGUGAAUGGAUCUCUAUGAAAUUUUACCAUAAGGUUCAAUACCACAAAAGGAAAGUUGGGAUUGAUUUUGGGGGUUAUGGUACCAACAGUUAAGGAAUUAGGGGCCAAAAAUAAGCAUUUUUGUAACUUCCAGACAUAACUUGUGUGUUAGUGUAUGGAUCUCUCUGACAUUGUACCACAAGGUUCCAUAUCACAAAGGGAAUCCUGGGAUUGAUUUUGGGGGUAAUUGCCUCCAAAUUUUAGGAAUUACGGGCCAAAAAAGAGGCAAAAAACAAGCAUUUUUCUAGUUUCAUGACAAUAACUUGUGUGUAAGUGUAUGGAUCUUUCUGAAAUUGUACUACAAGGUUCCAUAUCACAAAGGGAAAGCUGAGUUUGAGUUUGGGGGUAAUUGCCCUAAACGUUUAGGAAUUUGGGGCCAAAAAACAAGCAUUUUUCUAGUUUCCAGACAAUAACUUGUGUUCAAGUGUAUGGAUCUCUCUGAAAUUGUACUGCAAGGUACCAUACCACAAAGGGAAGGCUGGGAUUGAGUUUGGGGGUGAUGAAUCAUAAGUGGGUUCAAAAAAUUUAGGGGAGGUUUUUUUUUUUUCUUUAAAAUUUUCCAUUUUAAAUUGGUUAUUUCUGAUUUAUAUAUAAAAGCAAAUAAUAAUGAUAUGGUUUGAAUAGGUUAAUUAAAAUUUUUUUAAGUUCUUAGACCACAUUCAUUCUGUGUCAGAAACCUAUGCUGUGUCAAAUAUUUAAUAACAAUCCAAAUUCAGUGCUGUAUCAAGCUUGAAUGUUGUGUCCAUACUUGUCCCAACUGUUCAGGGUUCGACCUCUGCGGUCGUAUCAAGCUGCGCCCAGCGGAAUAUUUUAUCAUGUCUUUUGUUUUGUUUUAAUACUGUGGUACUGUGUUAUGUAGACAUUGAGUCAGAAAAUUAUUUGUAAAAAAGAAGUAAAUCAAUAAACAGUCUUUUAAAAAUAAAUAAAACAUGACUCAUUACAUAUAUAUAAUUUUCAUCUAAAUAAUUAUUGUAAUUAAAUCUUUUAUAAAAUCCAUGAUCAAUAAAAAUAAAAUCUCAUUCAAAGGAAAACAAAAAUGUUCUAGUUUCUAGAUAGAAAGUUGUUGUAUAUAAAAGGAUUCCUGCCAUGAGGAGAUAUAAAAUACAAGAAGAAAUAUUGUUAUAUUAUUUGAACCAGUUUCUAUCUUAAAUUUUAAUAAAAAGAAAUUUUUCAUAAACUUUAAAACAUUUUGCUAUAAAUAUAAAUUUCAUGUAAAUAUUAACCUUUCUUGUCUUUGGUGAUAAUCAAACAUAGAUGCAAACUAAAUACUGCACUAAAAUCUAAAUCUUUAUUUGUCAUGAUCCAUUUAAAAAGAAUUCCUAAAUCUAUUUAUCUUAGGUCUAUAGAUCUAUAAGUAACCAUAUUCAAUGUCAACAACAAAGUCUCCCUAUUUUCCCGCCUAAUUGACAGGAAGUAGAUAUAAAUAGAUUUUAGAUGUGCUUAUGGAUAAUGUUUGCAAAAUUACUUCUUUUAUUCUUUAAUUUUGGAUAUAGAUAUCCAGUUUAAAGGUACAGUCAUGCAUUUUAUUAUUAUUAUAAAAUAGAUUGCAAUUAAUUGUAAAUAAACUUGAACUUUCUACUUGAAUUAACUGGGUCAUGUGAUAUGUACAGAUGUCCCUCCCCUUUAAAUUACUUGUUCACAGGUACUAAAGUUUGAAACCCGACUAUCAUGCAAUAACUUUGUCAUAAAGAUAAUUUUGGCCAUGGUUUAAUGUAGAACGGACAUCCUGAAUUUUGAUAAUCGUAUAUUUCUGACAAGGAAAGCUUGUUCUACGUGCUUCAUAAAGAAAUGCGAAAUGUAUAAAUGUCAAUUAUCUGUAAUGAGCCAACAACUAUUUAGUAUGUACAAAAAAAAUGUUCUGGGGUGCUUACAACUAUCGGCACUGGUUGUGUACAAAGUAUUUGCCUACUUGUCACAAGUCAGCGCUUGGGUGGUGAGUGAAGCCAUAAAAUUGUUAUCUGUCAUCAUACAGGAGUAGGGGCAAUAAGGCCCUUGUUUGGCCCAAAUAUUACUACAAAUUUAAAAGUUAUCAUACAUAUUCUUAAAUUUGUCCAAACUAGACUAAGGUACAAGGUAUUCAGAAAAUGAAAACAAAUUUCACAUUGAACGAGUUACCAUGAUAUGGCAACAAACCAUGACAAAAUUUGCAUAUUUUGUAAGAUUUCUUGAUUUUCCUUGUUUUCAUCAAAUUCUAAGUAUAUUUUAGAUUGGAAAGGUAUGUGUGCUCCCAAGAAACAACUUUGUAUUUGUUAAGAUUAUGUUUACAGUUAUAAUAAAAUUUCACUUAAAUUAUUUUGUUGUUUCUUGGCUGCGCAUGAUGUUGCCACAAUGGAAAACUGCAUGAAUUCUGUAUUUUUCAUCGUUUUUGUGAAAAUAUUAUAUAUUAUAACGUAAUUGUGACGCCAUCAGAUACAAAUCUUUAUGUUUUUAUGCCCACGCAGUGGGGGCAUUAAGUUUUACCCUUGUCCGUCUGUACGUACGAAAUUGGUUUCCGUUCUAACUUGAGUUUGCCUCAACCAAUUGUUAAGAAACUAAUACACAAUGCUUAUUACCACAAAACACUGAUCAAGUUUGAAUUUUGGUGGUGUCACUUUAACUGUUCUAGAGUUAUGCCCCUUUAUAAAUGGAAAAAUUGCAAAAUUCUUAGUUUCCGUUCUCUAACUUAAGUUUGCCUCAACCAAAUGUUAUGAAACUUAUACACAAUGCUUAUUACCACAAAACACAGAUCAAGUUUGAAUUUUGGUGGCGUCACUUCAACCGUUCUAGAGUUAUGCCCCUUUAUAAAUGGAAAAAUUGCAAAAUUUUUAUUUUCUUCUAAAUAUCAAGUAAUUUUUAAAAUUGGAGUUAUCUUCCUUUGUCCAUGAUUAUAUUUGAAACAACUUCAAUCAAUGCUUUAUACAAUGCAAUGUUUAAUUUUGACUUCCACUGAUAAAACACAGAUCAAGUUGAAUUUGGGUAGUGUCACUUUAACCAUUAUUGAGAUAUGCCCUUUAUAAAUCGAAAGAUUGCAAAAUUUUUAGUUUCCAUUCUGUAACUUAAGUUUGUCCCAACCAAACAUUAUGAAACCUAUACACAAUAUUCAUUACCACAAAACUAAGAUCAAGUACAAAUUUUUUGUUUCCGUUUUCUAACUUUAGUUUGCCUCAACCAAAUGUUUUGAAACUUAUACACAAUGCUUAUUACUACAUAAUACAGAUUAAGUACGAAAUUUGGUGGCGACACUUUAACCAUUCUUGAGUUAUGUCACUUUAUAAACAUAAAAAUUGCUGAAUUUUUCGUUUCCGUUCUCUAACUUUAGUUUGUCUCAACCAAAUGUUAUAAAACUUAUACACAACCGUUCUAGAGUUAUGCGUGUUUACAAAUAGAAAAAUUGCUGAAUUUUUAGUUUCUGUUCUCUUCUUAAGUUAGCCUCAACCAAAUGUUAUGAGACUUACACACAAUGUUUAUUACCACAAAACUCAGAUCAAGUUCAAAUUUGGGUAGCGUCACUUUUACCGUUCUUCAGUUAUGUCCCUUUAUAACUAUAUGAUAUGCAAGCGGGGGCAUCAUCUGUUACCACAUGUGGACACUAUCCACAUUUAUUCAUUUAUAUUUCUUGACUCUAUGAUUUCCAAACAUUAUGUACCAAUUUGAAAUAGUUGUCAAGCAUUUUAUUUUCUUUGGCCAAAACCGGGCCAUAAAUUAAAAAUGCCCCUACUC
Molecule: RNA transcript, 6450 nt
Organism: Mytilus californianus (California mussel)
Lineage: Eukaryota; Metazoa; Mollusca; Bivalvia; Mytilida; Mytilidae
Gene name: vitamin D3 receptor A-like
Exons: 7
Source: RefSeq, a predicted model, not a curated record